This 302-nucleotide ribosomal RNA is filed under the name uncultured bacterium. RNAcentral describes it as "partial 16S ribosomal RNA". It matches the Rfam family "Bacterial small subunit ribosomal RNA", at positions 508 to 807 of the family's 1533-position model. The record is from RNAcentral.
GCAGUAGCCGCGGGAAUACAGAGGGUGCGAGCGUUAAUCGGAUUUACUGGGCGUAAAGCGUGCGUAGGCGGCUUUUUAAGUCGGAUGUGAAAUCCCUGAGCUUAACUUAGGAAUUGCAUUCGAUACUGGGAAGCUAGAGUAUGGGAGAGGAUGGUAGAAUUCCAGGUGUAGCGGUGAAAUGCGUAGAGAUCUGGAGGAAUACCGAUGGCGAAGGCAGCCAUCUGGCCUAAUACUGACGCUGAGGUACGAAAGCAUGGGGAGCAAACAGGAUUAGAUACCCCGGUAGUCCCUGUCUCUUAUAC